This 71-nucleotide transfer RNA is filed under the name Ptilocaulis walpersi. Its description in RNAcentral is "tRNA-Tyr". It matches the Rfam family "tRNA". Rfam says of the family: Transfer RNA (tRNA) molecules are approximately 80 nucleotides in length. Their secondary structure includes four short double-helical elements and three loops (D, anti-codon, and T loops). Lineage: Eukaryota; Metazoa; Porifera; Demospongiae; Axinellida; Axinellidae. The record is from RNAcentral.
AAUAAGAUGACAGAAAGGUUAUGUACCCCGCUGUAAACGGGCAAAUAAGAGUUCAAUUCUCUUUCUUAUUA